UUUAAAUGCAACUAUAAGUUUUCGCACUCAACUUUAAUCGUUCGUCUUAUUUAAAAUUAUUUUAUAAUUAGUAUUUUUGUUGUUAUAAGAUGAUAUCAUAUGAAUAGUACUUUACUCGUGACUUACGUUUUAAAUUUUUUUUCAAAUAAGAUGAACGGUUAAAGUUGGGCACGAAAAACCAUGGCUGCACUUAAA
Oryza sativa Japonica Group (Japanese rice) is the source of this 195-nucleotide microRNA precursor. It matches the Rfam family "MIR812 microRNA precursor family". The record is from Rfam. NCBI's taxonomy places the organism in Eukaryota, Viridiplantae, Streptophyta, Magnoliopsida, Poales, Poaceae.